RNAcentral lists this ribosomal RNA (756 nucleotides) under uncultured bacterium. RNAcentral's name for it is "bacterial SSU rRNA". It matches the Rfam family "Bacterial small subunit ribosomal RNA", at positions 28 to 805 of the family's 1533-position model. The record is from RNAcentral.
AACGAACGCUGGCGGCGUGGAUAAGACAUGCAAGUCGAACGAGAGAAUUGCUAGCUUGCUAAUAAUUCUCUAGUGGCGCACGGGUGAGUAACACGUGAGUAACCUGCCCCCGAGAGCGGGAUAGCCCUGGGAAACUGGGAUUAAUACCGCAUAGAAUCGCAAGAUUAAAGCAGCAAUGCGCUUGGGGAUGGGCUCGCGGCCUAUUAGUUAGUUGGUGAGGUAACGGCUCACCAAGGCGAUGACGGGUAGCCGGUCUGAGAGGAUGUCCGGCCACACUGGAACUGAGACACGGUCCAGACACCUACGGGUGGCAGCAGUCGAGAAUCAUUCACAAUGGGGGAAACCCUGAUGGUGCGACGCCGCGUGGGGGAAUGAAGGUCUUCGGAUUGUAAACCCCUGUCAUGUGGGAGCAAAUUAAAAAGAUAGUACCACAAGAGGAAGAGACGGCUAACUCUGUGCCACCAGCCGCGGUAAUACAGAGGUCUCAAGCGUUGUUCGGAAUCACUGGGCGUAAAGCGUGCGUAGGCUGUUUCGUAAGUCGUGUGUGAAAGGCGCGGGCUCAACCCGCGGACGGCACAUGAUACUGCGAGACUAGAGUAAUGGAGGGGGAACCGGAAUUCUCGGUGUAGCAGUGAAAUGCGUAGAUAUCGAGAGGAACACUCGUGGCGAAGGCGGGUUCCUGGACAUUAACUGACGCUGAGGCACGAAGGCCAGGGGAGCGAAAGAAAUUAGAUACCCCUGUAGUCCUGGCAGUAA